GAGCAACACGAGUCAAUAAGCAUCACAGAAGGACCAGAGAAGUUGAGGUUUGAAGAAGAGGCUGUUUGAUUUUUUUAAUGCUUCUGAGAGAGUCUGUAAGGUGAGGAGAGACUCAGGACUAUUGUUCUUUAAAACACAGAGGUCGGUGAUGGUGGAUACAUGAACAGCUUCACUGGAGGGCUGGCGCAGAAGUUCAGCACGAAAAGAGAAAUUAAGAAAGGAAUCCCUUAUUAUUGUACAGAGAGAUACAUCUUUAGGAAAGCUGCAGGAAAUCAACAGCAACUUUGACAGCGUAUUAGAGAGUGUCAGCAGGCCAGAGGGCGGUUUGUAGCAAAGGCUCGACCAACUAGGACCAGCAUGGUGACCGGCUCCAGAAAUCAGUUUUUGUAGAAGAGAUACCAAUAACUCAAUAAACCAGUUGCAGACAUAGCUAAGAUGGCAACGACUAAGAACAAAAAAUAAAUAAAUAAAACUAAAAGCAGUUUAGAGAUACUAGAGGAAGCAGAGACAAAGAAACGUGGAACUGAAAGAUUUGCAGGUUGUAUCUGGAAGCAUUCGGUAAUCUGCACACAAGCCUGCAUCAAUUUUUACAUUUAAAUAUAGUAGCUCUUACUACAGUCUUUGGGAGAAUUUUAUGGGCCACAGUCGUAUAUGUGGUCAGCCGAACCUUCAGAAAUCCUUCUACACAGAGAAGAACUAAAUCUGGUUGGCAUGCCACUAUUUUCGCUACAUCCAGGCGUUCCAAAGUCUUUUUACACCCAAAUCCUCUUCAUGAUUAUGAAGGCCAACUUGAGAAAAGAAGCGACUAUCACUCUUUGUAGCCUGCAAUGAAAAAAAAAUGGAAGUUUGCCUAACCUAAACUGAACAAAGAAAGACUAUUCUGGUAAGAAUGAAGCCAAGAUUUACUUUCGUUUUGCCAAUAAAUAUAAAUAUGACUAGUUGCA
This 944-nucleotide long non-coding RNA is filed under the name Felis catus (domestic cat). Its description in RNAcentral is "lncRNA (ENSFCAG00000052140.1)". Lineage: Eukaryota; Metazoa; Chordata; Mammalia; Carnivora; Felidae. The record is from RNAcentral.